RNAcentral lists this ribosomal RNA (432 nucleotides) under uncultured bacterium. Its description in RNAcentral is "bacterial SSU rRNA". It matches the Rfam family "Bacterial small subunit ribosomal RNA", at positions 958 to 1392 of the family's 1533-position model. The record is from RNAcentral.
AACGCGAAGAACCUUACCUGGGUUUGACAUAUACCGGAUCGCCUCAGAGAUGGGGUUUCCCUUGUGGUCGGUAUACAGGUGGUGCAUGGCUGUCGUCAGCUCGUGUCGUGAGAUGUUGGGUUAAGUCCCGCAACGAGCGCAACCCUUGUCCUGUGUUGCCAGCAAUUCGGUUGGGGACUCGCAGGAGACUGCCGGGGUCAACUCGGAGGAAGGUGGGGACGACGUCAAGUCAUCAUGCCCCUUAUGUCCAGGGCUUCACACAUGCUACAAUGGCCGGUACAGAGGGCUGCGAUACCGUGAGGUGGAGCGAAUCCCUUAAAGCCGGUCUCAGUUCGGAUCGGGGUCUGCAACUCGACCCCGUGAAGUCGGAGUCGCUAGUAAUCGCAGAUCAGCAACGCUGCGGUGAAUACGUUCCCGGUCUUGUACACACCG